GCCGAUUGUAUAGACUAACAUAGAUGUAUAGUCUAGAGAGUGCAGAGCUCAGAGUCAGUUCAAAUAAAACUACUUAAGUAAAAUGCUCCUCAAUUUCUCAAUUCUUCCCGGACAAACAUCAACCAAUUGAAUCGAACUCUAAUCGGAAUCCGAAUCGAAUGACUAAAGAUAAUAGUCGCCCAUAAGAAGGAUGAACUGAAGAUGUUGCUGCUGUCAUAAAUGACUAUGAGCAUCAAGAGAACCCAUAAAUCAGUUGCUCAUUGAGUUUUUUCGUACAGAGUCGGGAAAAGACGCUUAUUUGCAGACAACGAGAAACUGUCGAAAUUAAUCGUCGAUUAGAAGAAUGUACUGAAGAUUACUAUUCGUUUCUUACUUCCGUCGAACUGGUGUUACACUAUAAUUCAGCAUUUCGGCUAUGAUGGCGAUUGCAAACUCUUUCAGCUCUCUCGGAUCGGUGUAAGUGUCGGAAUUCAGGCCAGCGGCUGCGAAAGCCGCCCUGAUGGUGCCCUGCAUCUGGAGUAUGAUUUCGUUUCUUCCAAAUUAUUGAGUAAGGUUAUCUAGACGAUUGUAUAGUCUAGAGAGUACAGAGCUCGGAGUCAGUUCAAAUAAAAUAUUUAACUAAAAUGCCCCUCAAUUUCUCAAUUCUUCCCGGACAAGCAUCAUCCAGUUGAAUCGAACCCUAAUCCGAAUCAGCAUCAAUAGAACCCAAAAAAGAUACUUAUAGUAUUUGCAGACAACGAGAAACAGUUAUUCGCGAGCUCUGAUUUUGAUUACAAUCUAAAGCAAGCCUCUUCAGAGCUCUGGGAGAAUGUGGGGGUCUGAAUUGCCAAAAAUAUACUGUUCCAUUCCAUCCACUUAAGAGAAUAUAUUAUAUAUUGUUAUUAUAUUA
This is a long non-coding RNA of Drosophila albomicans, 889 nucleotides long. RefSeq lists it as uncharacterized. The transcript has 4 exons. The record is from RefSeq and is a predicted model, not a curated record. NCBI's taxonomy places the organism in Eukaryota, Metazoa, Arthropoda, Insecta, Diptera, Drosophilidae.